This 254-nucleotide ribosomal RNA is filed under the name uncultured bacterium. Its description in RNAcentral is "partial 16S ribosomal RNA". It matches the Rfam family "Bacterial small subunit ribosomal RNA", at positions 524 to 776 of the family's 1533-position model. The record is from RNAcentral.
UACGUAGGGUGCAAGCGUUGUCCGGAAUUAUUAGGCGUAAAGAGCUCGUAGGCGGUCUGUCGCGUCGAUCGUGAAAACUUGGGGCUUAACCCUGAGCUUGCGGUCGAUACGGGCAUGACUGGAGUUCGGCAGGGGAGACUGGAAUUCCUGGUGUAGCGGUGAAAUGCGCAGAUAUCAGGAGGAACACCGGUGGCGAAGGCGGGUCUCUGGGCCGAUACUGACGCUGAGGAGCGAAAGCGUGGGGAGCGAACAGG